RNAcentral lists this long non-coding RNA (838 nucleotides) under Ursus maritimus (polar bear). RNAcentral describes it as "lncRNA (ENSUMAG00000017545.1)". Lineage: Eukaryota; Metazoa; Chordata; Mammalia; Carnivora; Ursidae. The record is from RNAcentral.
CCCCCCACCCCCCUUCCCAGCUCCAUCUCCCUUCUCAGCAACUCUCCCUCCUUACCUCUCUUUGACCUCCUUUAUUCUCCUUCACAGCCUGGCCCUUGACUUCUCGGCCUCUUCUUUCCCUUCUUUACCUGCAAUGUCCUGCCCCUACUGGGGUCUCCUUCGCACCCUUCUCUCGGGUCCCGUCCCUUCAGACGCCAAACCCCAGCAUUCCUCAACGGCUCGGCCUGGUCGGCUUUAGCCCGAUUUUGUUCCCGUGCCCCUGGGCUGGGAAACAAGUGUGCGGUGCAAAGUGGGGGCAAGAAUCCCCCUCGGCGGUGGCCCCUGCCUCGCCCCCCUCCGCCCCUCCCGAGUCCCGGUUGCGGCGCUUCCUGGGCGGAUGGUUGGGACUCGCUGCAGCAGCUGCGGUUCUGCUGUGUCAUGCAAGAAGGAGGCGGCGGCGGAGCCGGCCGGAGCUGGAGGGGGAGGAGGGGAGGAACCUGAUCUCUCCGGUAGCGAAGGGCUGGAGGCAAACACCGAGCUCCCCCAGAGCCGCCCGGGAGCAGGGAGGGCACCGCUACCCCGAGGGGCCCUCCCCGCGGGGCAGAUGAGUUCAGUAUCCAGAUUCUCUGAGCCACAUUUUGGGAUCACGCAAUCAUUCCAUCCUCCUGAAUUUUCAUAAAUUACUGGAUUCAUAACCUACUCCAUACUUGAGAAGAUGGGGAUUGGAAUAAGGCUCCCAGGUGAUGCUGAUGCUGCCCUUCUGAGGACCACACUGUGAGUAACCAGACCAUAAACAAACCUCAUCACUCCGAGGUCAGCUUGCCUUCCACAGCAAAACACAGCCAAAGGGCAGCCAGAG